Caretta caretta (loggerhead turtle) is the source of this 4352-nucleotide long non-coding RNA. RefSeq lists it as uncharacterized. The record is from RefSeq and is a predicted model, not a curated record. Lineage: Eukaryota; Metazoa; Chordata; Testudines; Cheloniidae.
CUCUGUUCAUAUGAACGGUUUCAGAGUAACAGCCGUGUUAGUCUGUAUUCGCAAGGGAGCCAAAACUGAAGGGAGAAGGAGGAAGCAACCGCAACUGCCUCUGUGACUGAGGCAUUUCUAGCCAGCACAGUGUGGGGCCUGGGGAGUGUCAUGUUCCUGUACCAGGACGAGGCCGUUUUUCUUGACAUACCAGAUUCCGCACUAGAAGUUUUAAAUCGUGAACAAGAUGGAAGUCAAAACCAACAGACAGCGUUUCCUGAAAUGACAGAAGACGACUUAUCGAGUGUUAUCUCUCAAGAAGAAACGUUGAAGGGGACCAAGAAAUUUCGCUCUGAAUCAGCGACAGUGGGAAGCAAGGGUAUGAGACACUUUGAUUUUGAGCACAUCCAAAACCUCAUUACACAGAACCAGCCAUCCUUAAAAAGGGCCAAAAAAUCUACCACUGAAACAGCAGCAUAUAGAAGCAAGGGGGUUACCCCCCCCCCGCAUUUUGAUCUGCCCUGCACCACCAGGGCCAAAAAAAAUCUACCUCUGCAGGGCCGGGGACACUGGUAAGCAAUCCAAAGGAACUCAAACCCCUAGUUCUCAACAGCCCCAAGCCUUUACAGCCCCGAAGGAACCAGCUUUGAGAAGGGUAAAGGCAAACAAUCCUGUAGCAGCAGCUGUGUCCAGGGCUGGGUUUGAGCAGAGUCAAGAGGCCCGCCCCCCGGCUUCUGGGCAAAGCAAAAUCUCUGCUACAAGUAAAAACCUCCCUGUAUGUCUUGCUGCAUCAGUUGUUGUUUGUAAUGAGCUGUUUCGUGUUUGUACAUCUCUGAAGCGUUUAAUAGAUAAAAAGUUUUCGAAGCUAAUCGUUGAGGUGUUUCAAAAGCAAAAUGCUCCAGACAAAAGGGUGGUUUUAGACCAAAAGUGUGUUAAAGGUGGAAGGGAGGGUGUGACUAAACAUGAAACCUAAAAACAUAAACAUAUUAGAAACAGGGCUGGUGGUGUGGGGGAGCGAGGGGCUGUAAAGGCCCUUAAAAACUAUCAUGUACAGUAAAAUCAUCGGAAAAAAGAAAAAAAUUAAUUGAUUUACAUAACCAAGGUAACAAACUGUGUUUUGCCGGUAGCGUGCUGGGUCUUUUAUCAGAUGAAAAACUUACAGAUAUCCAACUAUUAGAGGCAGCCAGACAUCUCCAUCAGGAGCUGGGGUUUUCGGACCAAAAAAUGAUUCACUUUACAGACGGGAGCGCUUUGGGGUAGACCGUUAUGUAUCAUGAAAAUGGAAACUUGCGCUUUUUUACAACGGCUGGUGUACACCGCCCAAAACUGGUUUUGUUCUGUUACAUGACAAACAUUAUUAUGGCAUCCUAAAUAUUAAAGCCUUUAUAGGCGCGCCGUAUUUGUGCAAUUACUGAUAAGCCACGUCCAGCCACAAACAUCAGCAAGCCUGUAAAAAUCACUGCCGUACGUGUAAUAGCGCCGAGCGCCUUGAAGUGGCCACUGAAAAAAGAGAUGCCCACAGCUCUAAACUAUUUUGCAGGCCCGAGGCCUGUUUAGAAAGGCACAACGCUUUGGUAAAAGACGGUAAAGUUGAUUGUAAAAACAGAAGUCUUUGCAGUAAUUGCGGCUUCUACAAGGUUAAAAAUCACAGGUGUAAAAGCAAAAAAUGUCCCCAGUGCUAUCAGAAGACCGACAACAUAGAGGGUUAUGAGUGUUAUAUACAUAAAAUUUGGUCUCCAGAAGAGGGGAAGGAUUAUGUGUUUUAUGAUUUUUAAUGCAUCCAAGAAAUGGGCUACAGGUGCCAAAUUAUGUUUAUGCCUUGUAUCUAAAUAAAGAAACCAGCUGGGAAUUUAAGGGAGAAGAAUGCGUUAGCGAGUUUGUUUGAACCUUUGUAGACAAAUGCUUUAAGGGAUACCCAUUCAUUGCUCAUAAUGCUAAAGAUUACGAUUGUUAUUUUAUCCUUAGACAGUUGAUUAAAGAAAAAACACAAGGGGGGAAAUGAAUGUGCGUAACGGUGAUGGACUUAGACAUUAGAUUUAUAGCUUCUUUAAAUUUUCUUCCCACAAAACUUAGCAAGUUACUCAAAGCUAUGGGGUUGGAGGAAGUUAAGGGGUACUUUCCGCGCUUUUUUUAACACUGUUGCAAAUCAGAACUAUGUGGGGCCUAUGCCCGGGAUAGAGUAGUUUGGAGUAGAAUACAUGCUGCCUGAAGAAAAAAAAGGAAUUUCUGAACUGGUACCAACACAAUCGCCAAAACAAAUUCGAUCUCCAAAAAGAUCUGCGCUAUUAUUGUCAAAAAGAUGUUGAAAUUUUGCGAGAGGCUUGCGACCGGUUCAAAAAUAAAGUUAUAAAAAUGACAGAAAAGCAGAUUGUUAAAAACCCAGGACAGGAUGAUGAGAAGGUGGUCACUAAGUGUAUAGACCCCUUUCAGUACCUUACAUUAGCCUCGAUUUGGAUGGCCAUGUACCGAUUUAAUUUUUUAAAACCGCGAACCAUAGCCCUUCUGCCAUUAAACAAUUACCACAAAUAGCAGAAGAGAUAUUCCACCCCGGCCAUUCAAUGGUUGCUGAACGUAGCCCACACUGAGACCAUUUACAUCCAACACGCUUUGCAGGGUGGGGAGUGGGGGGUCCUAUUUUUGGAUGGUUACGCCGUCAUAGCAGGUAAAUCCACAGCCUUUGAAUUUAACGAAUGUUUUUUUCACGGCUGCCCCAUCUGCUAUUGUGAAAAUGACCACAAUCCGUUGCUUAAUUCGACCUACAGACACCUGUACAACCGAACCCUGAUUAAGGCGCAAUUUCUAAAAAGACAGGGGUUUGAGGUAACGGCCAUGUGGGAACACGAAUGGUUGGCUAUGCUAGCUAACGAUAACCGGGUGGGGGACUUUUGACGAGAAAAAAAACUGCCACAAACUUUGGUUCCUAAAGACACCCUUUACGGGGGUAGAACGAAAACCAUCUGCCUUUAUUACAAACCACAGCCCGGGGAGCAGAUUCAUUACUACGAUUUUACCGGCCUUUACUCUUUUGUUAACAAGAAUAAACAAUACCCUGUGGGACACCCCGGUAUUGUGUAUGAGCAUUUUGGGGCUAUCAGACAGUACUCUGUCAUCACCAAGGUUAAAGUGUACCCUCCAAGAGCCCUGUAUUUCCCCAUAUUACCAUACAGGGUCGGUGGAAAACUCAUGUUCCCCCAUGCGCCCUUUGUGCAGAAACAAAACAAAAGGACCCCUGCGAGCACAGUCAGGAGGAGAGGGCUUUAACAGGAACUUGGUUCACAGUAGAGUUGGUGGAGGCUUUAGACAAAGGAUACAGAAUCGCUGAGAUUUAUGAAGUCUGGCAUUUUAACUGCUCUUCAGACGCCCUGUUUUCAAACUACAUUAAAACACACCUGAGACAGAAACAAGAGGCCUCGGAGUUCCCUCACUGGUGUACGGACAAGUUAAAAAAACCGGUACGUUAAAGAGUACCGUGAAAGAGAAGACGUGUGUCUGCGUCUAAACAAAAUUAAAGUAAACCCCACGAAAAGGCAAAUCUCAAAGCUGUUUUUAAAUUCCUUGGGGGGGAAAUUUGGUCAGCGAACAAAUUUGACUAACACCAGUAUAGUAACUGACCCCGACGAGCUCUUCAAGUACGUCUUUGUACCUUAUUACAACGUGUCAGCGUGCGAGUUUAUCGACGAUGACAUGGCUGUGGUGUCUUGGAACUACACAAAAGAAAGCUGCACCCACUCCAGCAACACUAACGUGUUUAUAGCGUGCUUUACCACAGUUAUGCCAGGCUAGAGCUCUACCGUCUGUUAGACCACUUACAGGAGCGGUGUCUUUGUCACGAUACGGACGCUGUAAUUUUUGUGAGUAAAGAAGGGGAGAGGAACCCGCUCCUAGGGGAUUAUUUAGGGGAUCUGACCAGGUAAAUACCACCAGAUGAACAUAUCGUGGAGUUUGUGUCCGCUGGGCCUAAAACAUACGGAUACAAACUGUUCAGCGGUAAGAUCUGCAUGAAAGUAAAAGGGAUCACGCUCAACUCAGGGAAUAGCAAAAAAAUUAAUUUUGAAAGCUUAAAAGAACUCGUCUGGGAAAUUGUGGUACAGCAGCCAGGAAUCGAAAGGGUAAAAAAGCACUGGUCGAUAGAAACGAGAACACUGAAAAAAAACCCAAAAGUCGUUUAUGACAAAAGAGCCCUUGAAGUGGAUUUUAAAACCUUGCUGUACCCUAAAUUGAUUAUUAUGAAAAGCCACGUUUGCUUUGUGGCCCCUCGAAUUGUUAGAAAUGGUAAUAAGUUGUUAUCCUGUAUGCCUGAAAAUAUUGUGUGCUCUUAUAGCUGUUGGCAACCGUUGUAUAAAGAGUUGCUGCAAAAAUGUCCAUGUAUUAUG